RNAcentral lists this long non-coding RNA (863 nucleotides) under Androctonus crassicauda. Lineage: Eukaryota; Metazoa; Arthropoda; Arachnida; Scorpiones; Buthidae. The record is from RNAcentral.
AAUGAAUAUCUGAAGCUCACAUAAGCAAAAAAAAAGGAACGUCCUUCAUACAACCAUUCGUAAUCGAUUAGCAUCACCUGCAAUCGGUACGAGAGAUGUUAAUACUUUGCUAUUAUUAUUACAAUAAAUUUAGUUUUAUCGUAUUAUUAAUUAGAAAUGAUAGUAUAAGAAGCAGUUGUUAUUGAUUUUGACUUCAUCAGUAGGUAGUAAAGAAAGGAUAAUGACCGCAUAUAGAGGGAGCCAGUCAUCACUUAACUCCCUAGCAUUUUCUCUACAGUCGUCCACACUGCUAGACAACCGUCUUUGCCUGGCGUCGCGUUGUCCCGCCAGUUCUAGUAAUGUUGCUGGACAGUUCUGUCACCGAAUACAUCGUAUGAUCGGUAAGUCAACGUACACUUUAUUAAUUAGCUUUGUAAUUCUGUGCAAAACCGGGAAGUGUAGGUGUAACUUGCUUUGUUGACACGAAACAGGAAUUCUACUCUGCUAGCUGCUUUAAUAACCGAAAGCUUUUUUAUUUUUAUGUAGUACGCUGUUACGAAAUUAUUAUUUAACUUUCGCUGACGCGGUUUUAUUAUUAAACCGAUCAAUCGAUUAAAUGCGCUAUUUCGAAAUCGAUAUUUUUAACUAUUUCGUAUCGAAGAUGAGAUGCUUUUUUCCCCCACUUGCAGUUUUCUCGCUUAUGAAGUUGCAUUUAUAAGAAUCUAGAAAAGGAUUUUUUUUUUCUUUCUUUCUGAUCGAACGGAUUCGAAAUAUUCGGUGUGUCACGUUUGGUCAGUCAUUCAUAUCAAACAAAUAUCCUGUGCAUAAUGAAAACUUCGUUCUCUAUUCUCCUUAACUAGUUAAUGCGAAAUUUAUUAUGAAAU